This 460-nucleotide ribosomal RNA is filed under the name uncultured bacterium. Its description in RNAcentral is "partial 16S ribosomal RNA". It matches the Rfam family "Bacterial small subunit ribosomal RNA", at positions 338 to 795 of the family's 1533-position model. The record is from RNAcentral.
CCUACGGGUGGCAGCAGUGAGGAAUAUUGGUCAAUGGGAGAGAUCCUGAACCAGCCAAGCCGCGUGAGGGAAGACGGCCCUAUGGGUUGUAAACCUCUUUUGUCGGAGAACAAAACCCGGGACGUGUCCCGGACUGCGUGUAUCCGAAGAAAAAGCAUCGGCUAACUCCGUGCCAGCCGCCGCGGUAAUACGGAGGAUGCGAGCGUUAUCCGGAUUUACUGGGCGGAAAGGGUGUGCAGGCGGCUGAGUAAGACAGAUGUGAACUCCCCGGGCUUAACCUGGGAACCGCAUAUGUGACUGCUUGGCUAGAGUGCGUCAGAGGGAGGUGGAAUUCCACGUGUAGCAGUGAAAUGCGUAGAUAUGUGGAAGAACACCGAUGGCGAAGGCAGCCUCCUGGGACGCAACUGACGCUCAUACACGAAAGCGUGGGGAGCAAACAGGAUUAGAUACCCCGGUAGUC